GAGAGCCGGAUGCGGUAGCUCCGCACGUCCGGUUCGAUGAGCGGGGUGUGGAAACGGAGUCACGGUCGAGCCGCU
This 75-nucleotide unclassified non-coding RNA is filed under the name Rhizobiales bacterium GAS188. Lineage: Bacteria; Pseudomonadati; Pseudomonadota; Alphaproteobacteria; Hyphomicrobiales. The record is from RNAcentral.